This is a long non-coding RNA of Melanotaenia boesemani (Boeseman's rainbowfish), 104 nucleotides long. RefSeq lists it as uncharacterized. The record is from RefSeq and is a predicted model, not a curated record. The transcript has 3 exons. NCBI's taxonomy places the organism in Eukaryota, Metazoa, Chordata, Actinopteri, Atheriniformes, Melanotaeniidae.
UUGCUACAGAAUGAAUCCUUGUAUUUGCUGAUUUAAACACUUGCUUUUAAAAAUGUUAUAUAGAUGCAGAUGUGGGGAUAAAAAAGAAAAAAUGGAGGAAGCAG